This is a long non-coding RNA of Miniopterus natalensis, 968 nucleotides long. RefSeq lists it as uncharacterized. The record is from RefSeq and is a predicted model, not a curated record. Lineage: Eukaryota; Metazoa; Chordata; Mammalia; Chiroptera; Miniopteridae.
CUUCCCUACCAAAGCCCAGUUGCAGCCCCCAAACCAAAACUCAGAGAGCAAAAUAACAGCAGAAGAAGCAGCUGGCCUGGACCAUGAAAUCCAAUAAGACCAGUCUUCACUUGUGGUUUUAUUAGCUAAGGCUUUGACUGGAAUUCCAUAUCUAAGGGAGACUUGCCUGGACUCUGGAUAUCACCAAAAAGCAUUAAGAAAUUAAGAUUGACUUCCAAUGCCAAUCAAAGAGCCACUGCCGAAAUGGUCUUGUACCUUAGUUGGUCACAUGGUUCAUGGCAGUGUUUCCAGGAAAGGAACAAAGAUUGCUUUCCUUAAAGAUGGCAAAAAAGGAACUUCAAGACAUCUUUGGGAACCUCAAGGACUUUAGGAAUUGACCUAAAUCUCCAGGUAUUGGAGGCAAAACAUGAUGGCAACUGUGGCUUGGCUUCUCCACCCUGAGGGACUGACUGUUCACUGAAGCUCAAUCUACAUAUUCCUUAUAAAAAUUCCAGCAAAGCAAACUUGAAAGAGCCUGUGUGAUCAUUUUGAUCAAUUACUAUUCUUGUUGUACUUGUGCAAAUAAUCACACCAAACUAAAGUUGGACUUAAUAAAAUGAGGGUAAUCUUAGGGAGAAAAAUUGUAUUUCAGUGGAAACCAUAAUGCCCAAUUUUAAAUACUGAACUCCAAUGCUGUUAAGUGUCUUCAAAGUUUUGUUUUAAAGCUGUGUCUGUGCUGUGUAUGCCAUAUAGACUCUCAGCACCUGAUAACAUCACCAGAGAUAUUCUAACUGCAGACAAUCUAUCAGACUGUCACUGCUUGCUUUUAUUCCAGCAAAAGCCUUGCAUCUAGAAGUCUUAAUUGGUUUACGAUUUACUAUGUGCAUUAACCUUUGUGUUUUGCUUCCUCUGUUUUCAUAGAAUGCAUGCCUAUGUCCUUAUUUACCUGAUUGCUUGUUCACAUAAUAUAAGCCUCACUUUAGAAACAA